This 508-nucleotide ribosomal RNA is filed under the name uncultured Bacillota bacterium. Its description in RNAcentral is "bacterial SSU rRNA". It matches the Rfam family "Bacterial small subunit ribosomal RNA", at positions 397 to 896 of the family's 1533-position model. Lineage: Bacteria; Bacillati; Bacillota. The record is from RNAcentral.
CCGCGUGAGCGAAGAAGGCCUUCGGGUCGUAAAGCUCUGUUGUUAGGGAAGAACGAGUACGAGAGUAACUGCUCGUACCUUGACGGUACCUAACCAGAAAGCCACGGCUAACUACGUGCCAGCAGCCGCGGUAAUACGUAGGCGGCAAGCGUUGUCCGGAAUUAUUGGGCGUAAAGCGCGCGCAGGCGGUCCUUUAAGUCUGAUGUGAAAGCCCACGGCUCAACCGUGGAGGGUCAUUGGAAACUGGGGGACUUGAGUGCAGAAGAGGAGAGUGGAAUUCCACGUGUAGCGGUGAAAUGCGUAGAGAUGUGGAGGAACACCAGUGGCGAAGGCGACUCUCUGGUCUGUAACUGACGCUGAGGCGCGAAAGCGUGGGGAGCAAACAGGAUUAGAUACCCUGGUAGUCCACGCCGUAAACGAUGAGUGCUAAGUGUUAGAGGGUUUCCGCCCUUUAGUGCUGCAGCUAACGCAUUAAGCACUCCGCCUGGGGAGUACGGCCGCAAGGCUG